CCGCAAUUAACUGUGAACAGGCGGAAAUACGGUGAAUGACAGCUGAAGAAAUGGCAGCAAGGCCAAAAGCGAGAGAGAGCGAGAGAUGGGCUGGUGGUGGCACAAAUGUGUGGCACCGGAAGCAUAAGAUGGGGUCACCGGAAACCGUCGCUAACGUGCCCGCAGGGCAUACACUUGCCAACGAAUAUGACUAGGAUUCAAGGCAAAAGGGAAGUGAAUGCAGCAAAUAAACGCUAUAAAUUCAAGAUUAAAGGUUGGCCAAUAACUGCAGGUAAAAGUUAAAAACAAAAUCAAUUUUGCUUAAAAUGUAACAAAAAUAUUAUUACAGAAAAUGAAACCGAGUAAAAGGCAAGAAAAGGAAUUAAGGAGACGUCAAACAC
RNAcentral lists this long non-coding RNA (380 nucleotides) under Drosophila guanche. The record is from RNAcentral. Lineage: Eukaryota; Metazoa; Arthropoda; Insecta; Diptera; Drosophilidae.